RNAcentral lists this unclassified non-coding RNA (519 nucleotides) under uncultured Glomeromycotina. Its description in RNAcentral is "SSU rRNA". It matches the Rfam family "Eukaryotic small subunit ribosomal RNA", at positions 571 to 1092 of the family's 1831-position model. The record is from RNAcentral. Lineage: Eukaryota; Fungi; Glomeromycota.
CAGCCGCGUAAUUCCAGCUCCAAUAGCGUAUAUUAAAGUUGUUGCAGUUAAAAAGCUCGUAGUUGAAUUUCGGGGUUAGUAGGUUGGUCAUGCCUCUGGUAUGUACUGGUCUCACUGAUUCCUCCUUCCUGAUGAACCUUAAUGCCAUUUAUUUGGUGUUUUGGGGAAUUUGGACUGUUACUUUGAAAAAAUUAGAGUGUUUAAAGCAAGCUAACGCUUGAAUACAUUAGCAUGGAAUAAUGAAAUAGGACGUUCGAUCCUAUUUUGUUGGUUUCUAGGAUUGACGUAAUGAUUAAUAGGGAUAGUUGGGGGCAUUAGUAUUCAAUUGUCAGAGGUGAAAUUCUUGGAUUUAUUGAAGACUAACUACUGCGAAAGCAUUUGCCAAGGAUGUUUUCAUUAAUCAAGAACGAAAGUUAGGGGAUCGAAGACGAUCAGAUACCGUCGUAGUCUUAACCAUAAACUAUGCCGACUAGGGAUCGGAUGAUGUUAAUUUUUUAAUGACUCAUUCGGCGCCUUACG